CCCGCGGCCUAUCAGCUUGUUGGUGGGGUAAUGGCCUACCAAGGCGACGACGGGUAGCCGACCUGAGAGGGUGAUCGGCCACACUGGGACUGAGACACGGCCCAGACUCCUACGGGAGGCAGCAGUGGGGAAUAUUGCACAAUGGGCGCAAGCCUGAUGCAGCGACGCCGCGUGAGGGAUGACGGCCUUCGGGUUGUAAACCUCUUUCACCAGGGACGAAGCGCAAGUGACGGUACCUGGAGAAGAAGCACCGGCCAACUACGUGCCAGCAGCCGCGGUAAUACGUAGGGUGCGAGCGUUGUCCGGAAUUACUGGGCGUAAAGAGCUCGUAGGCGGUUUGUCGCGUCGUCUGUGAAAUUCUGCAACUCAAUUGUAGGCGUGCAGGCGAUACGGGCAGACUUGAGUACUACA
Molecule: ribosomal RNA, 411 nt
Filed under: Gordonia alkanivorans
Lineage: Bacteria; Bacillati; Actinomycetota; Actinomycetes; Mycobacteriales; Gordoniaceae
Description: bacterial SSU rRNA
Rfam family: Bacterial small subunit ribosomal RNA
Source: RNAcentral